CCUACGGGAGGCAGCAGUAAGGAAUAUUGGACAAUGCCCGCAAGGGUGAUCCAGCCAUGCCGCGUGCAGGAAGAAGGCCCUAUGGGUCGUAAACUGCUUUUACACCGGAGAAAACCUCCCUUCGUGAAGGGAGCUGAUAGUAUGGUGAGAAUAAGCAUCGGCUAACUUCGUGCCAGCAGCCGCGGUAAGACGAAGGAUGCAAGCGUUAUCCGGAUUCAUUGGGUUUAAAGGGAGCGUAGGUGGACUGAUAAGUCAGUGGUGAAAUCUUCGAGCUUAACUCGGAAAUUGCCAUUGAUACUGUUAGUCUUGAGUACAGUUGCUGUGGGCGGAAUAUGACAUGUAGUGGUGAAAUACAUAGAGAUGUCAUAGAACACCGAUUGCGAAGGCAGCUCACAAAGCUGUAACUGACACUGAGGCUCGAAAGUGCGGGGAUCAAACAGGAUUAGAUACCCUGGUAGUCCGCACUGUAAACGAUGAUUACUCGCUGCUAGAGGGCAACUUUUAGUGGCUUAGCGAAAGCGAUAAGUAAUCCACCUGGGGAGUACGCGGCAACGGUGAAACGUCAAAGGAAUUGACGGCNGAGAGNGCGAGGACGACACGAGGGGAGGAGG
This 611-nucleotide ribosomal RNA is filed under the name uncultured bacterium. RNAcentral's name for it is "bacterial SSU rRNA". It matches the Rfam family "Bacterial small subunit ribosomal RNA", at positions 338 to 950 of the family's 1533-position model. The record is from RNAcentral.